RNAcentral lists this long non-coding RNA (868 nucleotides) under Homo sapiens (human). Its description in RNAcentral is "HSALNT0070833". The record is from RNAcentral. Lineage: Eukaryota; Metazoa; Chordata; Mammalia; Primates; Hominidae.
AUUUGAACGACACUCUAGAGGAGUUCACUGAAACAGCAGCUUUAAAGUGCUUUGCCAGAGAAGGGUCUAGGCAGAAGAUGAGGUUUUAAAAAGAUGUCAUUAGGAGAAGUCACUAGGAAGUUACUACUGAAGAAAGCAAAUGUCAGCUUCUGAAAGCUCGUGUGUUGACAGUUGCUGCUGCACAUGUGUGUCAGGAGAUGCGUCAGCUAAGUUCAGAUACACUGCCCUCCCAGCAAUGGAAGAAACAGCCAUUCAGGAGAUGCAGCCGGCCAUUCAUUUUUAUCAUCCUGAUGUACACCCUUGAAAACCAAUGGGAAGGUUGAAUGUGCAGUCUUUCAUUAUGUUUCUUACUAAGGGGAGAAGAAUACACAGACACAGAAUACAUGCGUUGUAAAUGCCAGUUGUGUGAAAACAAAAUUGGUGUAAUAUGUAGCUGGAUAUAGUCAGGCUGGCAUAAAGAAUCAAAAAGACUUUCCUGGAAGUUUAAUCAUGUUGCAACAUAACAAAAAGAGAACAACUGGAAAGUCAGUUGUCAAAAAUAAGAUGGCUUCAAGCUCUGCAAAAACACAGGGAAAGUACAAAUGGGCAUGCAAAUGGAUGCUUCUGAUGCCUUGACCAUGUCCUGUGGGUCCAGGAGCCCUUCUUUCCUGACUGUUGAUCCUGCUCCGUUAUCAAGUUGACUCUUUUUGCCUCAUUUCACCCUACUUCCCCUAACCUUCCUCGUUUUGUUGGUAUUUGUCAUGAUCACCUUUGUCACCUUUUCUAACCCAAAGUAUGUUUGCAUUUUGGCUAGGAGAGGAAGAAUAAACUGUUGCCUGUGAUAGUAAUAAGGGUUUAAUUAAUAAAGAAAUAAAUCUGUGGUUCAGCU